This 497-nucleotide ribosomal RNA is filed under the name uncultured bacterium. RNAcentral describes it as "partial 16S ribosomal RNA". It matches the Rfam family "Bacterial small subunit ribosomal RNA", at positions 28 to 507 of the family's 1533-position model. The record is from RNAcentral.
GAUGAACGCUGGCGGCGUGCCUAAUACAUGCAAGUCGAGCGAACGGACGAGAAGCUUGCUUUUCUGAUGUUAGCGGCGGACGGGUGAGUAACACGUGGAUAACCUACCUAUAAGACUGGGAUAACUUCGGGAAACCGGAGCUAAUAACGGAUAAUAUUUUGAAUUGCAUGGUUAAAAAGUGAAAGAAGGUAGGGUGGAUAGUUAGAGAGGUAUCCGUGCUGCAUUAGCUAGUUGGUAAGGUAAGGGCUUACCAAGGCAACGAUGUAUAGCCGACCUGAGAGGGUGAUCGGCCACACUGGAACUGAGACACGGUCCAGACUCCUACGGGAGGCAGCAGUAGAGAAUCUUCCACACUAGUCAAAAACCUAACAUAACAACACCACGUUAGGCAUGAAGGUCUUCGGAUCGUAAAACUCUGUUAUUAGGGAAGAACAUAUUUUUCAUUAACUCUGCCCAUCUUAACAUUCCCUCAUCAGAAAGCCACGGCUAACUACCUG